AUUGAACGCUGGCGGCAGGCUUAACACAUGCAAGUCGAACGGUAACAUAAAGGAGCUUGCUUCUUUGAUGACGAGUGGCGGACGGGUGAGUAAUGCUUGGGAAUCUAGCUUAUGGAUGGGGAUAACUACGGGAAACUGUAGCUAAUACCGCGUAGAAUCGGGAGAUGAAAGUGUGGGACCUUCGGGCCACAUGCCAUAGGAUGAGCCCAAGUGGGAUUAGGUAGUUGGUGAGGUAAAGGCUCACCAAGCCGACGAUCUCUAGCUGGUCUGAGAGGAUGACCAGCCACACUGGGACUGAGACACGGCCCAGACUCCUACGGGAGGCAGCAGUGGGGAAUAUUGCGCAAUGGGGGCAACCCUGACGCAGCCAUGCCGCGUGAAUGAAGAAGGCCUUCGGGUUGUAAAGUUCUUUAGGUAGCGAGGAAGGCAUUUAGUUUAAUAGACUAGGUGAUUGACGUUAACUACAGAAGAAGCACCGGCUAACUCCGUG
RNAcentral lists this ribosomal RNA (490 nucleotides) under uncultured bacterium. RNAcentral's name for it is "partial 16S ribosomal RNA". It matches the Rfam family "Bacterial small subunit ribosomal RNA", at positions 30 to 507 of the family's 1533-position model. The record is from RNAcentral.